UACGGAGGAUGCAAGCGUUAUCCGGAUUCAUUGGGUUUAAAGGGUGCGCAGGUGGGCUUGUAAGUCAGUGGUGAAAUACUGCCGCUUAACGGUAGAAUUGCCAUUGAUACUGUGAGUCUUGAGUAUGGUUGAGGUAGGUGGAAUGUGCAGUGUAGCGGUGAAAUGCAUAGAUAUUGCACAGAACUCCGAUUGCGAAGGCAGCUUACUAAGCCAUUACUGACGCUGAGGCACGAAAGCGUGGGUAGCGAACAGGAUUAGAUACCCUGGUAGUCCACGCCGUAAACGAUGUUCACUCGCUGUUUGCGAUACACAGCAAGCGGCUGAGCGAAAGCAUUAAGUGAACCACCUGGGGAGUACGAUCGCAAGGUUGAA
This 372-nucleotide ribosomal RNA is filed under the name uncultured bacterium. RNAcentral describes it as "bacterial SSU rRNA". It matches the Rfam family "Bacterial small subunit ribosomal RNA", at positions 524 to 898 of the family's 1533-position model. The record is from RNAcentral.